CAGCGCUCGACUGUUCCACAAAAAACCCCGAGCAUAUUAGUUUGCUUUCACUUUAAGAACCAAGCACGGAUUUAAUAUACAGAUGCCUUCUCUUUCUGAACUGUUAACGUUAAGACAUAUGACUAAACGACUGUGUUUACUAGGAAAUUCGCCCAAACGCGCAUUUUGAUGUAAUUUUGUCUGUAUUUAUUCAUCCAUGCACAAAAAAGUGGAAGAGAGCCCAAUUUAGUAUUCGCGCGUGCGGCUGUCUGUGUGCACGCGCUUCAGAUGUGUGCGCUGAAAACUUGUCACACAGCGCUCGACUGUUCCACAAAAAACCCCGAGCAUCUUUUAUGCUUCACCUUGUGCCUUCGGGCAGGGGCAGUCCUUAUAUCGAGUCCUGAUACGAGAGUUUGAGCGAGAAUGCACGCGUUGGUGGUAAUGCAUAGACGGACAUUAUGUGAAAAUGUGGACAGUGCCAAAUAAGGUGCCUAUUUAUAUUACAGAUAUCGAUAUAUUACGUGUGGCAUCGAUGCAUCGUAUCGUCAGACAUCGUAUCGAUGUAUCGAUCCAUAUCGAUGAAUCAUUACACCCCUAUUUCCUUCUGUAUGUCGCGUGCUUCAAAGAAGCAAAUCAAGUAAAACUUGGAUAAAGAUAACGCAUGGUUUGGCCAGUACUGAUAUGCAGUUCAUUUGUUUUUAUGUAGAGACGUGCUGCUGACGCGACACGAACACUUCCGCUCAGUUACUAUGACAACAGCGGGCGUCCGGUUUCCAAACAACAGAAGGAGCGCGCUCGGUUCAGCGGAGCUCCGUUCCUCCGUGUUUCUCGUCGAAGCGCUGCUCGUAAAGCACUCAUGGAUCCCGCCUCUUCACCCGCUCUGAAAACAGACGCUCGUCUGAAGCUGAAAGUCGAACACAGAAAGAAAAACGUGUUUGUAACGCAGCUGGAGGAGCACAGAGAGCAGACCGAGGAGCACGUCCAGCACAUCCCGGUGAUAACAGAGUCCUCCAGCGGGCUCCUGGACACCGGGGUCCACACGCUGCAGACCACACUAGUCCUGAAGAAGCGCUCCGAGGUGGACGCAGUGGACACACGGCUGAUGGACACACGGCAGGAGGUUCAGAGGAGCAUGAAGAUCCUGCAGCAGAGACGAGCGCAGCUGCAGCAGAGACAGACGGAGACGAAACACAGGGCAGUAAGAUUUGAGAAGUUUGUGGAGGAGAACGAGGUGAAACGUCGCCGUGCGCUGAAGAAGUUCCAGACGGAGAGAGAGCAGAACCAAGUGAAAGAACAGGAGAAAGCUGAGCUCUUCAAACAACUCCAGGACUUACAAGCCAGGCGUCAGUAUUUACAGGAGCGAGUGAACAAAUACAAGAUAUUCGAGGAGUUUCUGAUGAAGACUCUCGAUUUACUUCCAGACAAGUAUGUGGGCUACGGGACGGACCUGGUGACGCCGAUCAUCAGACGCUACGAGACGCUGACCGUCAGCCGAGAGGACCUCCUGCAGCAGCUGUCCAGCCUGACGGACGAGAUGAAGUCCAGCCAGAACCACAUGGAGUCCCUCAGACAGCAGCACAGCACCUUUAAACUGAUGACCAACCAGGAGCUGUCCGAGCGCCAGACACAGCUGGAUCAACUGAAAGAGAAGAACAAACAGCUGGAAAUGAUGCUCCACAUGCACCUGGGCCAGUCCAGAGACCAGGUGUGCUGCAGACUCAUCCUGACGUGUAGAGCAGAACCCCCAGCAGACUCGAGGAAAACCCUUGAGCAAAGCUGUUUAAGAAACCGUUCAGCCAGAAAUUAAGAAGGGUUUACCCUCGGUCCAUCUAAUUAAGAUCAGGAUGAGUUUGUUUCUUCAUCAGGUUUGUAGAAAUGUAGCACUGCAUCAGUGUCUCAGCAAUGGAUGCUCUGCAGUGAAUGGGUGCCGUCAGAAUGAGAGUCCAAACAGCUGAUAAAAACAUCACAAUAAUCCACAAGUAAUCCACAGCACUCCAGUCCAUCAGUGAACAUCUGGAGAAGACAAAAGAUGAAACACAUUCAUCAGUGUUUUAACAUGCAAACCGAAACCAAGAAGAAAGUCCAGCUCUGUAAGGAUUUCAGUCUGUUGUUAGGGUCUGAAAGCUCUAGGACUAGUUCCAGUUUAAAUUCUGUUCUUGAAGCAUGAGUUUUCUUGGCUCCGGUCAGGGCUGGUUUAGUCUGCGUCUGUGUUGGUGGUUGUGAUGUAAGUCUGGACGUUCCUGUGCGUGUGUUUGUAGGUGGAGGAGGUCGGGAACAUUUUGAUCGCGGUGAAGAACCUGUCGGAGCAGUGUUACCUGAGUCACUACGGAGCUCUGGACCUCAUGGACACCUCCUCCAUGAUGGACAUGAUAAAGGUGAGCGGUCAGUUAUCCUGCAGCACCUGAUCAGGAACUCAGGCACGAACGGGUUUCUUUCUGCUCAUGCUUUCAAAGGAAUUCAUCGUAGAGAAAGCCGACAUGGAGAGGAGAGCCACGAGACUCGUAGCCAGCAGCGGCGCCACUGUGAAGAGAACGACCCCGAAGAAGACCCCCAGCAGAAGCGGAGCGCUGACCGCACCGAAGACCCUGCCGUAGACCAGUCCAGCUCACUACAUCUGCUCGUGUAGCGUUCAUGAAGAAACAGCUUUAUAGAGACGAUCAAACACUUCUGUUCAAAUGUUUUUAUUCUUCAGCUUGAAAAUAACUGCUUUAUCAGUAAUUCUGUGAAAUCAUUAAAACAUUAUUUAACAAGGACAGUGUGACAUUUCAGUUCAACCUGAAGCUCAUUUUUACAAGAUUUUCAACUUUGACCAUCGGCAGAAGAGAAUCAAACAACACGAGCGUGAGUAAAUGCUUCGGGUGACAGAAGAAAACCAGACAGAUUUAACACUAGAAGAGUCAUUAAAAUGUAGAAAAAUUGAGGGAAAAUAAAUGCACAUAAAUUUUGGAUUCCA
Cyprinus carpio (common carp) is the source of this 2932-nucleotide long non-coding RNA. The record is from Ensembl. Lineage: Eukaryota; Metazoa; Chordata; Actinopteri; Cypriniformes; Cyprinidae.